AACGCGUGGGUAAUCUACCUCCGAAUCGGGGAUAACCCGCCGAAAGGCGAGCUAAUACCGGAUAAUAUCUUUAAAACUUAGGUUUUUAAGAUCAAAGGUGGUCUCUACAUGUAAGCUACUGUUUGGAGAUGAGCCCGCGUACCAUUAGCUUGUUGGUAGGGUAAUGGCCUACCAAAGCUGCGAUGGUUAGCUGGUCUGAGAGGAUGAUCAGCCACACUGGAACUGACACACGGUCCAG
RNAcentral lists this ribosomal RNA (238 nucleotides) under uncultured bacterium. Its description in RNAcentral is "partial 16S ribosomal RNA". It matches the Rfam family "Bacterial small subunit ribosomal RNA", at positions 112 to 334 of the family's 1533-position model. The record is from RNAcentral.